CGGGGCGUAGCGCAGCCUGGUAGCGCACCUGCUUCGGGAGCAGGGGGUCGGAGGUUCAAAUCCUCUCGCCCCGACCA
Molecule: transfer RNA, 77 nt
Filed under: Desulfuromonas sp.
Lineage: Bacteria; Pseudomonadati; Thermodesulfobacteriota; Desulfuromonadia; Desulfuromonadales; Desulfuromonadaceae
Also listed under: 22 other names
Description: tRNA-Pro
Rfam family: tRNA
About the family: Transfer RNA (tRNA) molecules are approximately 80 nucleotides in length.
Source: RNAcentral